RNAcentral lists this ribosomal RNA (210 nucleotides) under Staphylococcus pseudintermedius. Its description in RNAcentral is "partial 16S ribosomal RNA". It matches the Rfam family "Bacterial small subunit ribosomal RNA", at positions 1 to 205 of the family's 1533-position model. The record is from RNAcentral. Lineage: Bacteria; Bacillati; Bacillota; Bacilli; Caryophanales; Staphylococcaceae.
UUUAUGGAGAGUUUGAUCCUGGCUCAGGAUGAACGCUGGCGGCGUGCCUAAUACAUGCAAGUCGAGCGAACAGAUAAGGAGCUUGCUCCUUUGACGUUAGCGGCGGACGGGUGAGUAACACGUGGGUAACCUACCUAUAAGACUGGAAUAACUCCGGGAAACCGGGGCUAAUGCCGGAUAACAUGUUGAACCGCAUGGUUCUACAGUGAA